RNAcentral lists this ribosomal RNA (324 nucleotides) under uncultured eukaryote. RNAcentral's name for it is "partial 18S ribosomal RNA". It matches the Rfam family "Eukaryotic small subunit ribosomal RNA", at positions 1470 to 1796 of the family's 1831-position model. The record is from RNAcentral.
CCCUUAGAUGUCCUGGGCCGCACGCGUGCUACACUGACACUUACACCGAGUUUUUCCAAUGCCGAAAGGCCAUUGGUAAUCAGCAAUAAGUGUCGUGAUGGGGAUAGAUCUUUGGAAUUAUUGAUCUUGAACGAGGAAUGCCUAGUAAUCGUAGGUCAUCAGCCUGCGAUGAUUACGUCCCUGCCCUUUGUACACACCGCCCGUCGCACCUACCGAUUGAAUGGUCCGGUGAAAUUCUCGGACGCGGACUUGCAAUGUUAAUUCGGAGCUUGACUGUGAAAGUUAAUUAAACCUUACCAUUUAGAGGAAGGUGAAGUCGUAACA